GUGGUGUUUGGAUCGUCCCUGCCGGCUGGCUCCGUGCCCGUCCACCGAACGGUCGGCGGGCGAUCCGCUUCGGUCGCGCUGGGUGGUAUGGUUCCCCAGAGGCCGGUUCUUGUGCUGCCUACCCCUUCAGGGGAAGCGGGCCGCUUGAUGCAAGCCUCCAUCCCGCGCCCUCCAACGGGCGCAGGAGGACAACGGAGCACCCCCCGCGUUCCACCGAGCCUCCUCGGUCGCGUGGCGCGUGGGGACGUGCGAUGCUCUCGGACCCAGCGAACGCCGUGGGCGAGGACUCACGUCCCAGUCCCGAUAGAAGCUCCCACAUAAUGCUGACGGCCGCUCCCGUCCCCCGACCGCCCCGGCGGCGCGGGGGCGAGGCGCGGCGUCGCGGAGGAAUGCUACCU
Molecule: unclassified non-coding RNA, 398 nt
Filed under: Acacia gardneri
Lineage: Eukaryota; Viridiplantae; Streptophyta; Magnoliopsida; Fabales; Fabaceae
Description: partial external transcribed spacer
Source: RNAcentral